GUAGGUGGCAAGCGUUGUCCGGAAUUAUUGGGCGUAAAGCGCGCGCAGGCGGUUCUUUAAGUCUGAUGUGAAAGCCCACGGCUCAACCGUGAAGGGUCAUUGGAAACUGGAGAACUUGAGUACAGAAGAGGAAAGCGGAAUUCCACGUGUAGCGGUGAAAUGCGUAGAGAUGUGGAGGAACACCAGUGGCGAAGGCGGCUUUCUGGUCUGUAACUGACGCUGGGGCGCGAAAGCGUGGGGAGCAAACAGGGAUUAGAUACCCUGGUAGUCCACGCCGUAAACGAUGAGUGCUAAGUGUUAGGGGGUUUCCGCCCCCUUAGUGCUGCAGCUAACGCAUUAAGCACUCCGCCUGGGGAUACGGCCGCAAGGCUG
Molecule: ribosomal RNA, 372 nt
Filed under: uncultured organism
Description: partial 16S ribosomal RNA
Rfam family: Bacterial small subunit ribosomal RNA
Source: RNAcentral